UACGUAGGGCGCAAGCGUUGUCCGGAAUUAUUGGGCGUAAAGAGCUCGUAGGCGGCUUGUCACGUCGGGUGUGAAAGCCCGGGGCUUAACCCCGGGUCUGCAUUCGAUACGGGCUAGCUAGAGUGUGGUAGGGGAGAUCGGAAUUCCUGGUGUAGCGGUGAAAUGUGCAGAUAUCAGGAGGAACACCGGUGGCGAAGGCGGAUCUCUGGGCCAUUACUGACGCUGAGGAGCGAAAGCGUGGGGAGCGAACAGG
RNAcentral lists this ribosomal RNA (253 nucleotides) under uncultured bacterium. RNAcentral describes it as "partial 16S ribosomal RNA". It matches the Rfam family "Bacterial small subunit ribosomal RNA", at positions 524 to 776 of the family's 1533-position model. The record is from RNAcentral.